RNAcentral lists this non-coding RNA (218 nucleotides) under Sporobacter termitidis. Lineage: Bacteria; Bacillati; Bacillota; Clostridia; Eubacteriales; Oscillospiraceae. RNAcentral also lists the same sequence under 1 other name. The record is from RNAcentral.
AAAUAUAAUAUCAUUUCGAGUGUCCCUUUGGGCGUACGGCCUUUGGGGAAGGAUAGGGAAUCGUGUGCAAAUCACGGACGGUACCGCCGCUGUAUGCGCCGAGGCCGCGCUCGUCGACGAAAGUCGGUCACUGGGAAACUGGGAAGGCAGAGCGCGUGCCGCAGGAGGUCCUCUCCAUAAGCGCGAGUCAGAAGACCUGCUUGGAAGUAUUGCCCUAA